UAACAGGAAACAGCUUGCUGUUUCGCUGACGAGUGGCGGACGGGUGAGUAAUGUCUGGGAAACUGCCUGAUGGAGGGGGAUAACUACUGGAAACGGUAGCUAAUACCGCAUAACGUCGCAAGACCAAAGAGGGGGACCUUCGGGCCUCUUGCCAUCGGAUGUGCCCAGAUGGGAUUAGCUAGUAGGUGGGGUAACGGCUCACCUAGGCGACGAUCCCUAGCUGGUCUGAGAGGAUGACCAGCCACACUGGAACUGAGACACGGUCCAGACUCCUACGGGAGGCAGCAGUGGGGAAUAUUGCACAAUGGGCGCAAGCCUGAUGCAGCCAUGCCGCGUGUAUGAAGAAGGCCUUCGGGUUGUAAAGUACUUUCAGCGGGGAGGAAGGGAGUA
Molecule: ribosomal RNA, 390 nt
Filed under: uncultured bacterium
Lineage: Bacteria
Description: bacterial SSU rRNA
Rfam family: Bacterial small subunit ribosomal RNA
Source: RNAcentral